CGGGGAAAAGGGUAGAGAUUUGGAGGAAUACCGGUGGGGAAGGCGGCCCCCUGGACGAAGAAUGACGCUCCAGUGGGAAAGCGUGGGGAGCAAACAGGAUUUGAUACCCGGGUAGUCCCCCCCGUAAAAGAUGUCGACUUGGAGGGUGUUCCCCUGAGGAGUGGCUUCCGGAGGUAACGCGUUAAGUCGACCGCCCGGGGGGGACGGCCGCAAGGUUUAAACUCAAAUGAAUUGACGGGGGCCCGCGCAAGCGGUGGAGCAUGUGGUUUAAUUCGAUGCAACGCGAAGAACCUUACCUACUUUUGACAUCCAAGGAAUUCGGCAGAGAUGCCUUAGUGCCUUCGGGAACCCUGAGACAGGUGCUGCAUGGCUGUCGUCAGCUCGAGUUGUGAAAUGUUGGGGUAAGUCCCGCAACGAGCGCAACCCUUAUCCUUUGUUGCCAGCGAUUCGGUCGGGAACUCAAAAGAGAAUGCCGGUGAUAAACCCGAGGAAGGUGGGGAUGACGUCAAGUCAUCAUGGCCCUUACGAGUAGGGGUACACACGUGGUACAAAGGCGCAUACAAAGAGAAGCGACCUCGCGAGAGCAAGCGGACCUCAUAAAGUGCGUCGUAGUCCGGAUCGGAGUCUGCAACUCGACUCCGUGAAGUCGGAAUCGCUAGUAAUCGUGGAUCAGAAUGCCACGGUGAAUACGUUCCCGGGCCUUGUACACACCGCCCGUCACACCAUGGGAGUGGGUUGCAAAAGAAGUAGGUAGCGUAACCUUCGGGAGGGCGCUUACCACUUUCGAUUGCAUAGACGUGGGGGAAAGUCUUAACCGGGAUCCUCGUAAUUUCACCCCACAAAAGG
RNAcentral lists this ribosomal RNA (846 nucleotides) under Pantoea sp. RNAcentral's name for it is "bacterial SSU rRNA". It matches the Rfam family "Bacterial small subunit ribosomal RNA", at positions 679 to 1533 of the family's 1533-position model. The record is from RNAcentral. Lineage: Bacteria; Pseudomonadati; Pseudomonadota; Gammaproteobacteria; Enterobacterales; Erwiniaceae.